GGCGCUGUAGUGUAGCGGUUAUCACUCAAGAUUCUGAUCCUCCAUGAUAGUUUGGACUUUGCAUUCUUGUAACCCCGGUUCGAUUCCGGGCAGUGCCU
This is a transfer RNA of Hypholoma sublateritium FD-334 SS-4, 98 nucleotides long. It matches the Rfam family "tRNA". Rfam says of the family: Transfer RNA (tRNA) molecules are approximately 80 nucleotides in length. Their secondary structure includes four short double-helical elements and three loops (D, anti-codon, and T loops). The record is from Rfam. Lineage: Eukaryota; Fungi; Basidiomycota; Agaricomycetes; Agaricales; Strophariaceae.